This 822-nucleotide long non-coding RNA is filed under the name Olea europaea subsp. europaea. The record is from RNAcentral. Lineage: Eukaryota; Viridiplantae; Streptophyta; Magnoliopsida; Lamiales; Oleaceae.
UUUGCGUCUCCUUAUAUCUAUAAAAAGGCCAUAUAAAAGGGAUUAUAUAGAGAAAUAAAGAGAGAGGGAAUUUCAUCGUAAAAUGACUAUGCCUUUGUUCAACAUCUUGAGCUGUUUUUCAGAGCAAUCCGAGAGGGGCAGUCGAUAUAUAUGUGAUGGCGAUGUGUGUUAUCUAAGCAAUCCAAAGGCAACGGGCGCCAAGAAAAAAAACGAGCGAAAGCGAAGCGUUCGGAUUUCAUUUUCGCGGCUUUCAGCAAGAAAUGAUUAAUUUGAUGAUCUUCUAAAUUUUCUUGUCAAUAAGGGCUUAGUUGAAUAAGCCCUUAGUACAAACUGUUGAUAGAAUCUUAUGGAUAAUCUCUAGAGCAAAAAUCAGGGUCAGAAGGUGCAGUGGUAACACUAAUCCUUUGUAUGGUGAUUGCUGCAGUUGAUGUUGGGAUAUAAGAAAUUUAAUCUUUCAGAAUUAUUCUUUUUAUAUGCAUUUAUAUUUACUUUGUGUAGGCUAUAAAAAGUAUAGAUUAUCUAAUAUAAAAAGAGGAUUUUAUUCAAGUGGUAAAAGCAAAGGUUUACUAGAUCAAUGAUCCAAGUUCGAGUUUCAUUUAAAAGAAGGGUGAAAUUCGAAAAGAAAAGAAGAAAAAAAGAGAUGAGAGAUUGAUAGAUUAAUUGAUAUUUUUGUUGAAAAAAGUUAACCUUUCGAAGGAGGACAUUGUCUUCGUUCUUUCAUGAAAGGAAGAAAAUUAAAUUUGGAGGAGAUUUCAAUUUAGAGAUUGUUUGAUGAAGCUUUUAAUACAUGUUUUAGCAAAUUUUAAUAAAAAUUGAUAAAUU